Molecule: unclassified non-coding RNA, 498 nt
Filed under: Hevea brasiliensis (rubber tree)
Lineage: Eukaryota; Viridiplantae; Streptophyta; Magnoliopsida; Malpighiales; Euphorbiaceae
Source: RNAcentral
AAUGAGGACUCUGAUGCUGCAAAACAAAAAAAGACAUACGAUUAAUCAAAUAGCAAGCAGUAAGGACAGCAUCCCCCCAAAAACGAAAAGGUACAUGAUGAUGAAGGAGCAAAGUAUGAGCUGUUUCAAUUAGAUGUCUAUUUUUACGCUCAGCUACUCCGUUUUGUUGAGUAGUAUGGGCACAAGAAGGCUGAUAAAUGAUACCCUUAGAUGACAUAAAGGUUUGAAAAGGAAGAGAAAAAUAUUCUCGUGCAUUAUCACUAUACAACACUUUAAUAGAAAUACCAAAUUGAGUACGUAUCUCAGCAAAAAAAUUUUAAAAAAUAGAAAAUAACUCAGAACGAUUUUUCAUUAAAUAUAGCUAUAUAACACGAGAGUAAUCAUCCACAAAAGUAACAAAUUAUCUAAAUCCAAGUGUAAAAGUAAUAGAACAAGGACCCUAAAUACCAAAAUGAACUAAUUCAAAAGGGGGCGAAGCCCGUUUAUUAACUCUAGGCA